UCCGGUUUGUCACCGGCAGUCUCAUUAGAGUGCCCUUGCGUAGCAACUAAUGAUAAGGGUUGCGCUCGUUGCGGGACUUAACCCAACAUCUCACGACACGAGCUGACGACAGCCAUGCAGCACCUGUCUCCGGUCCAGCCGAACUGAAGGAUUCCAUCUCUGGAGUCCGCGACCGGGAUGUCAAGGGCUGGUAAGGUUCUGCGCGUUGCGUCGAAUUAAACCACAUGCUCCACCGCUUGUGCGGGCCCCCGUCAGUUCCUUUGAGUUUCAACCUUGCGGCCGUACUCCCCAGGCGGAGAACUUAUCGCGUUAGCUUCGACACUGGGAGGCUUACCCUCUCAACGUCUAGUUCUCAUCGUUUAUGGCGUGGACUAC
This 375-nucleotide unclassified non-coding RNA is filed under the name uncultured Pseudomonadota bacterium. Its description in RNAcentral is "uncultured proteobacterium contains 16S-23S intergenic spacer region". Lineage: Bacteria; Pseudomonadati; Pseudomonadota. The record is from RNAcentral.